This 308-nucleotide ribosomal RNA is filed under the name Anaplasma sp. EleuthCy. RNAcentral describes it as "bacterial SSU rRNA". It matches the Rfam family "Bacterial small subunit ribosomal RNA", at positions 499 to 819 of the family's 1533-position model. Lineage: Bacteria; Pseudomonadati; Pseudomonadota; Alphaproteobacteria; Rickettsiales; Anaplasmataceae. The record is from RNAcentral.
ACAUCCGCUGCCAGCAGCCGCGGUAAUACGGAGGGGGCAAGCGUGUUCGGAAUUAUUGGGCGUAAAGGGCAUGUAGGCGGUUUGGUAAGUUAAAGUGAAAUACCAGGGCUUAACCCUGGGGCUGCUCUUAAUACUGCAGACUAUAGUCCGGAAUAGGAUAGCUGAAUCCUAGUGUAUAGUGAAAUUCUACAUAUUAUGAGAACACCAGUAGCGAAGCGGCGUUCUGGUCCGUACUGACCUAAUGUGCAAUACGUGGGAGCAAUCAGAUUAAUACCCUGGUAGUCCACGCUGUAAACGAUAAGUGCUAA